UACGUAGGUCCCGAGCGUUGUCCGGAUUUACUGGGUGUAAAGGGAGCGUAGACGGCCAUUCAAGCCAGAUGUGAAAGCCCGGGGCUCAACCCCGGGACUGCAUUUGGAACUGUAUGGCUGGAGUGUCGGAGAGGCAGGCGGAAUUCCUAGUGUAGCGGUGAAAUGCGUAGAUAUUAGGAGGAACACCAGUGGCGAAGGCGGCCUGCUGGACGAUGACUGACGUUGAGGCUCGAAAGCGUGGGGAGCAAACAGG
This 253-nucleotide ribosomal RNA is filed under the name uncultured bacterium. RNAcentral describes it as "partial 16S ribosomal RNA". It matches the Rfam family "Bacterial small subunit ribosomal RNA", at positions 524 to 776 of the family's 1533-position model. The record is from RNAcentral.